AACGGAAAAAUAAUUUGGCCGCCACUGGCAGACAGGUGUACACGUGACGUCGAGUUCGGAGGGGAGGAACGAAAGAAUAUUACAGUAUAGUGUCUGCGUACGACACUGACGGACGCGGUGGGUGUAUAACAGCGAUAAAAUAUAAUUUAUAGAGUACUAACAUUGUCAAAAUAUCAUCCGCGGUUUUCUAUUGUCAGUUAUCGGGAUCGUUGACGCGACACCGGU
Cinara cedri is the source of this 225-nucleotide non-coding RNA. The record is from the annotation of a GenBank genome assembly. Lineage: Eukaryota; Metazoa; Arthropoda; Insecta; Hemiptera; Aphididae.